GAAUCGCUAGUAAUCGUGGAUCAGAAUGUCACGGUGAAUACGUUCCCGGGCCUUGUACACACCGCCCGUCACACCAUGGAAGUGGACUGCACCAGAAGUGGUUAGCCUAACUUCGGAAGGCGAUCACCACGGUGUGGUUCAUGACUGGGGUGAAGUCGUAACAAGGUAGCCGUAGGGGAACCUGCGGCUGGAUCACCUCCUU
Molecule: ribosomal RNA, 202 nt
Filed under: Vreelandella subglaciescola
Lineage: Bacteria; Pseudomonadati; Pseudomonadota; Gammaproteobacteria; Oceanospirillales; Halomonadaceae
Description: Halomonas subglaciescola partial 16S ribosomal RNA
Rfam family: Bacterial small subunit ribosomal RNA
Source: RNAcentral